Molecule: ribosomal RNA, 584 nt
Filed under: uncultured bacterium
Lineage: Bacteria
Description: bacterial SSU rRNA
Rfam family: Bacterial small subunit ribosomal RNA
Source: RNAcentral
CCUACGGGAGGCAGCAGUGGGGAAUUUUGGACAAUGGGCGCAAGCCUGAUCCAGCAAUGCCGCGUGAGUGAAGAAGGCCUUCGGGUUGUAAAGCUCUUUUGUCAGGGAAGAAACGGUGGUUCCUAAUACGGACUACUAAUGACGGUACCUGAAGAAUAAGCACCGGCUAACUACGUGCCAGCAGCCGCGGUAAUACGUAGGGUGCAAGCGUUAAUCGGAAUUACUGGGCGUAAAGCGUGCGCAGGCGGUUAUAUAAGUCAGAUGUGAAAUCCCCGGGCUCAACCUGGGAACUGCAUUUGAGACUGUAUGGCUAGAGUGUGUCAGAGGGGGGUAGAAUUCCACGUGUAGCAGUGAAAUGCGUAGAUAUGUGGAGGAAUACCGAUGGCGAAGGCAGCCCCCUGGGAUAACACUGACGCUCAUGCACGAAAGCGUGGGGAGCAAACAGGAUUAGAUACCCUGGUAGUCCACGCCCUAAACGAUGUCUACUAGUUGUCGGGACUUAAUUGUCUUGGUAACGCAGCUAACGCGUGAAGUAGACCGCCUGGGGAGUACGGUCGCAAGAUUAAACUUAAAGGAAUUGACGG